UGGGGAAUAUUGGGCAAUGGGCGCAAGCCUGACCCAGCCAUGCCGCGUGAGUGAUGAAGGCCUUCGGGUCGUAAAGCUCUGUGGGGAGGGACGAACAGCCCGAUGGUUAAUACCCGGCGGGUCUGACGGUACCUCCUUAGCAAGCACCGGCUAACUCCGUGCCAGCAGCCGCGGUAAUACGGGGGGUGCAAACGUUGCUCGGAAUUAUUGGGCGUAAAGCGCACGUAGGCGGUCCUGUAAGUCGGGUGUGAAAGCCCCAGGCUUAACCUGGGAAGUGCACUCGAAACUGUAGGGCUUGAGUACGGAAGAGGGUCUCGGAAUUCCCGGUGUAGAGGUGAAAUUCGUAGAUAUCGGGAGGAACACCAGUGGCGAAGGCGGAGACCUGGGCCGAUACUGACGCUGAGGUGCGAAAGCGUGGGGAGCAAACAG
RNAcentral lists this ribosomal RNA (429 nucleotides) under uncultured bacterium. Its description in RNAcentral is "bacterial SSU rRNA". It matches the Rfam family "Bacterial small subunit ribosomal RNA", at positions 355 to 775 of the family's 1533-position model. The record is from RNAcentral.